AUGAUGUGCAGAUUUCUACAGAAGUACAUCCUGUGCUGCUGAAUGAGGCUGUAGGAGCAGCAGGACUGUGCUCGCUUCUGUGUCCUGCACUGCUGUUGCAGUGUGUUGCCAGGAGCUGUGGCUGCUGACACUCAGCUGGCACGUCCCUACCAGCACUCAGGUCCUGCGAGCUGGGGAGCACCUAUGGAUGCUGGCUGUGGGGCCAGGCCAUGCUGAGGAUGUGAAACAUGCAAAAAUGGUGAGAGCAGAAAGGGAAACCCCAGAGCAGCUGACACAGCUCUGGGCACUGGGAAGCCCCCCAUUCACCCCCUGUGUCACUGGGGCAGGACAGGGAUACUUGACGGGGGCAGCAUGAGCCCCACAGCACUGCUGCAGGCACAUGGCCCCAGGUAACAGAGCAGAACCCCACUGCAGCCCUGUGACUGUGAGCAACGGGAGGCACUUCCAAAGGCUGAUGGUGUCCUAAGGAAGAAUACAGUGUGUGGGGGUGUCUGCAUGGACAAUUUGAAGUGAGAGCUUUUAAAACUCUGCUUACAUCCCCUCGGAGCUGAGGCCAGCAGGAGCCACCCUCAGGGUCACAGGCACCUGGAGCCCUUCCCGGUGCUGGGUUUCCUGGCAUGGCGCGGAAUGAGACAGCAUCCGCAUAGCACGCAGGGGCUGCUGAGACACCUUUAUUUCUCAUUAGAGCUCCGCUCUUCCUCCACCUGCUUCCUGUGGGGGAUUUAGGUUCCUAAGAAACGCACUGAGAAAAUGAGAAAAUUCGCUGUCAGCUUCAUUGGAACUGCUCAGAGGGAGCUGAUCUGGGCACAGCUGGAGCGGUGUCUCUAGGCCGUAGGGGUUGGUCAGGACCUUGUCUGCCUCCUGUGUGCAAGAUCCUUUGGGGAGCACUGAGCCGCAGCGCAGGGAGGUGUAGGGCUGCACUGCUGGCUCUGCUCUGUCUGGAAGGUUCCAUAAAACUUGAGGUUUAUGGGAAUGAGAAUGGACUGUGCUGGGUUCACCUUUGCUCCAUGCAAUGCAUUACUGUGAGAGUGCUGGUUCAGUUCUGUUGCUCAUCCUCUCCUUGCACCUCUGAGGACUUUACUUGCGUUAAUAAAUACGAUAAUUUUCUUA
RNAcentral lists this long non-coding RNA (1110 nucleotides) under Gallus gallus (chicken). RNAcentral's name for it is "lncRNA (ENSGALG00010022704.1)". Lineage: Eukaryota; Metazoa; Chordata; Aves; Galliformes; Phasianidae. The record is from RNAcentral.